GGCGGGGGGGAGGGGUCCCUCAGCCCAGAUUGCAAGAGGGCACAGGCCAGGCCGAGGGACCCCACUGGUGCACG
Molecule: microRNA precursor, 74 nt
Filed under: Myotis lucifugus (little brown bat)
Lineage: Eukaryota; Metazoa; Chordata; Mammalia; Chiroptera; Vespertilionidae
Description: mir-9193 microRNA precursor family
Rfam family: mir-9193 microRNA precursor family
Source: Rfam by way of RNAcentral